CAGCAUGUUCAAACUGGUGCUACACAUUGUAUCAAAAAAAUAUUAUCGCAAUAACAGAGUGUGCAAUAUUCAUAUCACAAAGACGUUCAAUCAUUUCUUUUCUUUUUUUUUCAUUAACUUUCUGUUUUACACACCAUGGGGUACCAGAGUGGUUUUCUCUAUCACUCAAACAUGCUAGUUUUUCUGGCAAA
Molecule: long non-coding RNA, 191 nt
Organism: Sphaeramia orbicularis (orbiculate cardinalfish)
Lineage: Eukaryota; Metazoa; Chordata; Actinopteri; Kurtiformes; Apogonidae
Exons: 3
Source: RefSeq, a predicted model, not a curated record